GGCGCUGUGGCUCAAGUGGUAGAGCGCUAGCCUUGAGCUGAAGAGCUGAGGUUCGAUUCCCCAGCACCA
RNAcentral lists this transfer RNA (69 nucleotides) under Dipodomys ordii (Ord's kangaroo rat). It matches the Rfam family "tRNA". Rfam says of the family: Transfer RNA (tRNA) molecules are approximately 80 nucleotides in length. The record is from Rfam by way of RNAcentral. Lineage: Eukaryota; Metazoa; Chordata; Mammalia; Rodentia; Heteromyidae.